This 586-nucleotide ribosomal RNA is filed under the name uncultured bacterium. RNAcentral's name for it is "bacterial SSU rRNA". It matches the Rfam family "Bacterial small subunit ribosomal RNA", at positions 338 to 916 of the family's 1533-position model. The record is from RNAcentral.
CCUACGGGAGGCAGCAGUGGGGAAUUUUGGACAAUGGGCGCAAGCCUGAUCCAGCCAUGCCGCGUGUGGGAAGAAGGCCUUCGGGUUGUAAACCACUUUUGUCAGGGAAGAAACGGCUUUUUCUAAUACAGAGAGCUAAUGACGGUACCUGAAGAAUAAGCACCGGCUAACUACGUGCCAGCAGCCGCGGUAAUACGUAGGGUGCAAGCGUUAAUCGGAAUUACUGGGCGUAAAGCGUGCGCAGGCGGCUUUGUAAGACAGAUGUGAAAUCCCCGGGCUCAACCUGGGAACUGCAUUUGUGACUGCAUGGCUAGAGUACGGUAGAGGGGGAUGGAAUUCCGCGUGUAGCAGUGAAAUGCGUAGAUAUGCGGAGGAACACCGAUGGCGAAGGCAAUCCCCUGGACCUGUACUGACGCUCAUGCACGAAAGCGUGGGGAGCAAACAGGAUUAGAUACCCUGGUAGUCCACGCCCUAAACGAUGUCAACUGGUUGUUGGACGGCUUGCUGUUCAGUAACGAAGCUAACGCGUGAAGUUGACCGCCUGGGGAGUACGGCCGCAAGGUUGAAACUCAAAUGAAAUUGACGG